AGUGAACGCUGGCGGUAGGCCUAACACAUGCAAGUCGAACGGCAGCACAGUAAGAGCUUGCUCUUACGGGUGGCGAGUGGCGGACGGGUGAGGAAUACAUCGGACUCUACUUUUUCGUGGGGGAUAACGUAGGGAAACUUACGCUAAUACCGCAUACGCCCUACGGGUGAAAGCAGGGGAUCUUCGGACCUUGCGCGAUUGAAUGAGCCGAUGUCGGAUUAGCUAGUUGGCGGGGUAAAGGCCCACCAAGGCGACGAUCCGUAGCUGGUCUGAGAGGAUGAUCAGCCACACUGGAACUGAGACACGGUCCAGACUCCUACGAGAGGCAGCAGUGGGGAAUAUUGGACAAUGGGCGCAAGCCUGAUCCAGCCAUACCGCGUGGGUGAAGAAGGCGUUCGGGGUGUAAAGCCCUUUUGUUGGGAAAGAAAAGCAGCAGGUUAAUACCCCGCGGUUCUGACGGUACCCAAAGAAGAAGCACCGGCUAACUUCGUG
Molecule: ribosomal RNA, 492 nt
Filed under: uncultured bacterium
Lineage: Bacteria
Description: partial 16S ribosomal RNA
Rfam family: Bacterial small subunit ribosomal RNA
Source: RNAcentral